GGAGUUGUGGCUCAGUGGUAGAGUGCUUGCCUAGCAUGCACGAAACACUGGGUUCGAUCCUCAGCACCA
Molecule: transfer RNA, 69 nt
Filed under: Marmota marmota marmota (Alpine marmot)
Lineage: Eukaryota; Metazoa; Chordata; Mammalia; Rodentia; Sciuridae
Also listed under: 1 other name
Rfam family: tRNA
About the family: Transfer RNA (tRNA) molecules are approximately 80 nucleotides in length.
Source: Rfam by way of RNAcentral